AUUGAACGCUGGCGGCAGGCCUAACACAUGCAAGUCGAACGGUAACAGGGAUCAGCUUGCUGCUUCGCUGACGAGUGGCGGACGGGUGAGUAAUGUCUGGGAAACUGCCUGAUGGAGGGGGAUAACUACUGGAAACGGUAGCUAAUACCGCAUAACGUCGCAAGACCAAAGAGGGGGACCUUCGGGCCUCUUGCCAUCUGAUGUGCCCAGAUGGGAUUAGCUAGUAGGUGGGGUAACGGCUCACCUAGGCGACGAUCCCUAGCUGGUCUGAGAGGAUGACCAGCCACACUGGAACUGAGACACGGUCCAGACUCCUACGGGAGGCAGCAGUGGGGAAUAUUGCACAAUGGGCGCAAGCCUGAUGCAGCCAUGCCGCGUGUAUGAAGAAGGCCUUCGGGUUGUAAAGUACUUUCAGCGGGGAGGAAGGGAGUAAAGUUAAUACCUUUGCUCAUUGACGUUACCCGCAGAAGAAGCACCGGCUAACUCCGUG
RNAcentral lists this ribosomal RNA (490 nucleotides) under uncultured bacterium. RNAcentral describes it as "partial 16S ribosomal RNA". It matches the Rfam family "Bacterial small subunit ribosomal RNA", at positions 30 to 507 of the family's 1533-position model. The record is from RNAcentral.